CCCUCUCCGGCGACAGGGUAACACCAUUGGCAUCCCCGACGAGCCGCCGGUAGCUACAGGUAAGUACCCCCUCUCUCUCUCCUCGGAACCGUCAACAGUGGUCUUUCACAGUGGUCUUUCUUCGACACCUCCUUCACCACCGAGACAUACACCGUCAGGCGCACAACCCCUGCGAGUUUCGUCGCCGGAAGCUGCCUCACGCGCCGCCUACGACCGCCCACGCGCCGCGCGCGUGAGCACUGUUCCGGGAAUUUUUUCGGCUGGCUCCUUUUGGACAGUAUUUCCCCCCCUCAAUUCCGACCAACUCGGUACUUCCGGAAUAUUCACCUGCUCACUUUCAUUGUUUCUCGUGUUGUUUUCUUUUUAUUUUCAUUUUCUCUGUUUUCCUUUUGCUUGUGUUUUCAUUUCCUCUGUUUUUAAUUUGUUUGUAUAUGAAUUUUCUUUUUUUGCUGCUGUUUCUCUUAUUUGUUCUUCCUAUUUGCCGCAUGUGUUUCUUAAAAUUAU
Molecule: long non-coding RNA, 504 nt
Filed under: Nicotiana benthamiana
Lineage: Eukaryota; Viridiplantae; Streptophyta; Magnoliopsida; Solanales; Solanaceae
Description: long non-coding RNA (NBEN_LNC020560)
Source: RNAcentral